Molecule: small RNA, 52 nt
Filed under: Labrenzia sp. THAF82
Lineage: Bacteria; Pseudomonadati; Pseudomonadota; Alphaproteobacteria; Hyphomicrobiales; Stappiaceae
Description: ffh sRNA
Rfam family: ffh sRNA
Source: Rfam by way of RNAcentral
GAGCCCGGAGGUUAACACCCGACAGCGCGUUGCGCCCUCGGGUGCUAAACUG